RNAcentral lists this long non-coding RNA (3682 nucleotides) under Equus asinus (donkey). RNAcentral's name for it is "lncRNA (ENSEASG00005031683.1)". Lineage: Eukaryota; Metazoa; Chordata; Mammalia; Perissodactyla; Equidae. The record is from RNAcentral.
GGCAGUAACAGAAGUGUGCCUGGGAAGAAACCCCACGGUGGAGAUGAGAGGCCAAAGAGUGGGUAGGGCGAAUGAGGAAAAGCAGCAAAGUGUACUCCCUCACAGAGAGGCAGAGAAGUGCGUUAGAACCCUGGGGAAGCAAGCUGGGAACCUCCCUCGAAGCCUGUCUGUUUCACUGUGCUCUCCUUAUCAUAGACACCUGCCACAGGGUUUGGCAUUUCCCCUUUUCUGAUUGGCUGCCUCCCCAGGGCCCGGGCCUCAGUGCUGGUGGCCCUCUGGGGGUCGGGAGCGCAUAAAUAGUUCCUGCUGGGGAAACUGGGAAACUGGUCUCAGACAAGAGGAACAGACAUCUCUGCCACGCACUGCUGCCUGGAGCUGCAUGGGGUCCCAGUGCUGCCAGCGUGUCUUCUGUGUAUCGCCCCAUGCACCUCUGCCUCAGCCACAGCCCUUCCCCGCAGCAGCUCCCGCGGCCUGGCCUGGUAGAGCUGCAGCCCCAGGCCUCCUUCUACUCCUUCCUGGUACAACUGCAUGAACCCCAGAGACCCAAGAAGCGAGUAGUGUUUGCAGACACGAAGGGGAUCUCAUUGACAUCCGUGCACAAGUUUGAAGAUGCUGUGGGCAGACACUCUGAAGAAGCCUCGUGUCCCAUGUUCAGUUUCCUGCGCCCUGCGCCACCUGGCUGGCCAGAGCCACCACCUACACUCUGGGCUUCCCCGCACCCAGGCAGGGUUCGGGGGUUUCAGAGGCGCCUGCAGGUGCAGAGUGUGCGCCCGGAGCAGCGUGCUGGGCAGGGGCCUUCCUGCGAGGCGCUGUCUAGCAGGCAGGCUGGGUUCCAGAAGGCAAGGCAGAUGCGCAUCACCUUUGAUGUCAGGGCUCCUUCCAAGAAGUGCCUAGUGUUCACACGGCCAGUCCUUGCAGAAGCGAGACUGACAGCUUCGCCUUCCAAGCCAUGUUGCCACUAGGUCUCCCAGGCCGGUGGGCACCAUCCAGUUCUGCUUCUGUUGUUGGGGAAAACAAUCAAGGGCAAACCUGUUGUUUGGUGCCCAGUUCUCAGUCACGCUCAUCACAAUGUAAGUGAGCUCUGUGAGGGCCCACAGACAGGGCGAGCCGUCUGUGGUUACUUUUUCUGCAGAGGCAAAGCUUGAAUUCCUCACCCAGGAUGUGCUAUUCCUAUCGCUUCUGGAACUUUAUUCAGACUCUUCUUUCUCCUGAAUUCACAGUGGGGAGACAGGAGGGACACAACUCCCAGCCCCCAGAAAGCCUUGAAUGCUUUGCAUUCUUCUCUCACAAGGGGAGCCCACUUCCUGACCAAAGGGCUGAAAUUUCCUUUAGGGAGAUGCUGGGAAUGGCACCCUUUACCCUUUGCAGAGGAGCCUUUGGAGUGUGGAAACAGAAGAAAUGUAAAUAAAGCUUUUAUGUGUCAUUAUUUAACAGGCCUGGCAGAGUGUCUGUAAGGACUGUGUGGAGGAGGGGUGGGCCGGGGAGGGUUCUUUGCAUUGAAAGCAGGAGGCACCCAGCACAGGAAGGAGCUCUUACACUUUCCUCUCCAGGUGGAAGGGGCCAGCUUUCUGGUAACUUGAAAUCCUACUGCUGCUUCAACUUUUGCCUAAAGAAAAGUUCAUUAAAGCAUCUUCAGUGGUUCACGUUGUAAACACUUGACCUUUCCCCCUCUUUAGCAGGUAAAAGUCUGGGGAAACUCUGUCUACCUCAAAACAGGUGCACUUAAAAAAAAACAAAAACAUUUUUAGCUGUUUUGUGCAUAAUUUACCAAGACCCAGAGACCUGACCUUUGUUCCUAGGCCCCUCCCUCCCCUGUUGUAUUUAUCACCCUAUAUGGAAACUGCUUAUUGAACUGUUUGCCACCCUCAGGGCCUGGAAAGGCUGGACCAGGACUGCCAUCCACCCUGCUGGCCCCCAGGCUGGCAGCCCUGGAAUGCUCAGGAGGUAAGGGUUGGAAUAAUACGUGAAUGUUUGUGCCAGGUAGGCCCCUCGCUUCAACUUGCAAUGCUCUGAGAUCUUCAGUCUUCAGAAGAUUUUAGCCUCUUUUCGGAGAUUGCUCAUUCUCUCAGAUUACUGUUCGUGGAUGACAAAUUUUAAAUAUGUGUUUAAAAAGAAUGUUUCUCUCUUCUGAUUCCUUGACUUCUUGGGCUAUAUUUGUUUGUGCCGGUGGCAGGCUAUAUCAAUGCAAUCAUUGUGGCUGAGCAAGCAGCAUUCUCUUUUUCUCCCUAAAGGGCCUGCCCCAGCUGAUUCAAUCUGUAAAACAACCAGGUGGUUAACAGCGUAAAGCUAGAAGCAGCCAAACACACUGGCUUCCAGGGCCGCUCUGAACACAGCUGCAGCUUCCUCAUCUGAUAAGUAACGCUUUCGUAACUGCACCUGUUUCCUCCUGCUCCCUCUCCAGCCUUCUAGCCCUGCCUCCAUUAAGGGAUGAUCAGGAAUAGAUAACAUCCAUGCCCAUCUUCCUCUACUUUAUAUGCGGGAUGCCUACCACAGCAUGGCUUGAUGAGCGGUGCAAUGUCCGCACCUGGGAACCGAACCCGCGGACCCCAGGCCACCAAAGCGGAAUGUGCGCACUUAACCACUGCACAACCGGGCCGGGGGUUUUUAUUUAAUGGGUAUUGAGUUUUCAUUUUUCAAGAUGAAAAAUUUCUAGAGAUCAGGUGUACAACAAUGUGAAUAUACUUAACACUACUGAACUGUGCACUUAGAAAUGGUUAAGAUGGUAAGUUUUGUGUGUAUUUUACCACAACUAAUUUUUUUUUUUAAAAAAAGAACACAACUUUUGCUUAAUUUGGCUUUUUCUCUUGGUGCUUGGAAUUGAGCAUUGGUGUUGCUGGUUGUGUAGUAAACAGUUGUAGGUUCACCUCUUAAUGAAUGUUAAAGACUUUGUACAUUAAAAGGUGACCGUGGAAGGGAAAGGAAUUAUACAGCACACUUAUGGUGUUGUUCUACUGAGGGACAGAGUACCUUUCAAACGGAGUAUCUUCCCAGGUUCAUAGCACUGUGUGUCAUACACGCAGCAAACACAAUGAUUGUAGAGGCACAUUUUGGGAAAUGAGCUCAAAGUUAGGAUGGGAUGGGGAUUGUUAAACCUCUCACUGAGACCUUAAUCACUGUGACCCCCUUCUUUUAAUGGUCUAUCCUUCAUCAGGUACUUAAAAUUACUCACAUAGUUUUUGUAGCACAAGAGUAUUUUCAUCGUAGAAUGUGAAAAUACCUUCAACAAUAAUCUAGAGACAGUCCAAAUUCAGUGUCAAGGAAUUUAGUGCCGGCGAUGAGCCUGGUCAUGCUAUCAGGCAGUAGGCCUUCUCUAUAGAUAAACCCACGCCAUGUCUAAAUUCUCAAGCAUUACUUGCUCACUUUCUCUCUCCCGUUUGUAUUCUUUGUGCCUAGAAAUGACCAUGACAGAGAGAUGCCCAGAUCACUGACCUUUGCAAACAAAACUUUGGAGCCUAAGAGAACUAUAUUAACCCAGUUCUUACUGAUUUCCUCUUUGGGGGGGAAGUUUGAUUGCUUUCCCACACCAAAGAAGUUUAGAGAAUGUGCCAGUGAAUGGGUGCCUACUCUCACCUGGGCAUGUGUGCGUGUGUUGAUACCCAAGAAGUGAGUUUACUAUUUGGUUGGGCAAAGAAUCAAUGAACACGAUUUGUAUUGAGCCUGUAACGUGUGUGACUUAUUUUUU